Molecule: long non-coding RNA, 499 nt
Organism: Centruroides sculpturatus (bark scorpion)
Lineage: Eukaryota; Metazoa; Arthropoda; Arachnida; Scorpiones; Buthidae
Exons: 3
Source: RefSeq, a predicted model, not a curated record
AUUUUGUUUCCUCUUUUAUUUAUUUAAUGGUAUUAUCUAAUGAACUUUGUUACUGUUUGGAAAUAUAUUUAAAUCGUGGAUGCAAAUGUAAAACAGUACUAUAUUAACAAACUUUGUGAGAAGCUGAUUUUUUUAACUGAAAAUGAAAACAUCGACAAUUAUUAAAUUGGCCUUACUUUUCAUAUUACUUGACACGAAAUCCACAAAUGCCAAAAUCAAAGGAGCAUAUCCUCUAAAAGUAAACUGCACCACUUAUAAAUGUUCGAAACUUGGAGUUAACGAUUAUUGUAUCGACGUUUGCAAACUUCAUUUUGCAGGUUACGGAUAUUGCUUUUCAUUUGCGUGUUACUGCGAAGGAUUGAAUCCGAAGUAUGCACAUUUUUAUUUAAGAUUUCAGCAAAGAGAAUAUGGUAUUGAAUAAACAUGCAUAUAUAGUGUUAAUGAACAAUGGUUAUUAAAAAUAAACCUGUAUAUAUAAUUAAAAAAAGUAAUUGUUUAU